Molecule: non-coding RNA, 24 nt
Filed under: Arabidopsis thaliana (thale cress)
Lineage: Eukaryota; Viridiplantae; Streptophyta; Magnoliopsida; Brassicales; Brassicaceae
Source: RNAcentral
AUGUACCUUCCCAAUGUAAACUGC